Molecule: non-coding RNA, 72 nt
Organism: Ictidomys tridecemlineatus (thirteen-lined ground squirrel)
Lineage: Eukaryota; Metazoa; Chordata; Mammalia; Rodentia; Sciuridae
Source: Rfam
GGGGAUGUGGCUCAAGUGGUAGCGCGCUCGCCUAGCAUGCGUGCGGCCCGGGUUCGAUCCCCAGCAGCACCA